UUUGACCUCGGAUCAGGUAGGGAUACCCGCUGAACUUAAGCAUAUCAAUAAGCGGAGGAAAAGAAACCAACAGGGAUUGCCCCAGUAACGGCG
This 93-nucleotide ribosomal RNA is filed under the name Trichoglossum walteri. Its description in RNAcentral is "partial 28S ribosomal RNA". It matches the Rfam family "Eukaryotic large subunit ribosomal RNA", at positions 1 to 91 of the family's 3401-position model. Lineage: Eukaryota; Fungi; Ascomycota; Geoglossomycetes; Geoglossales; Geoglossaceae. The record is from RNAcentral.